GGGGAGGGGCAGCCAAGGUUCCCGGAGCCAGGCGGGAAUUUGGGAUGAUCCCAGUCUCCUUGCCUGCCAUUAUCAAACAACCCAAAGGCAGGGAGACCCAACUGCCUGGGGCUCUAGGCCUCCGUCGGAGCCUCAAAGGAAAGCACAAAUCCCUACAGCGAAUCUAGGAAAGAAAGAAAGAUUUCCAGAUCCUGAUUUACAGGGGGGGGGGGGGGGGGGGGGGGGCAGACUAGCACCGGGUGCACCGACUCCAGUACUGGUUUGUGUACUGGAGUAGAAGAGCCAGUGCCCCGAGUUGCUAUCUCCUGUGGGAGGCAUAGGGUGUAGGUUGAAAAGACUGUUUCCUCCAGCAGCUGGGUCUGGGCAGGCAAAACCAGCUGACAGGUGAAUGUGGUGGAAGGGAGCAAAGACAUAACGCAAAGCAAAACCAAAACAACAACAACAAAAACAAACAACAACAAUACCCCCUCCUCUCCCACUCCCCCCCCCAAAAAAAAAGAAAACCCCAAACUUACUUCUUCGCUGGCGCCUUCCUCGGGAGGCGUUUUGGCUGCCAAUGUAUUCCAUAAAGUUCAAAAUGAUAAAAAAACAAGAAAUCAGUCGCAAGUGCAUAGUAACCCUGUAAUGUUUCCCUUUUUUCUCUCCUUUUUCUUUUCACUGUUAGUUAUAUUUAAUGUUUUUUUUUAAAGAAAAAUAUGUAUGUAGGUGUUAGGCGAGUCUAUACGAAGAGUAGAAAAACCAGAGCAGCGGGACUUCUCCACUGAGAUCCAACAGGCGUGCUGUGAUGGCAAGCGAAGCGGGACGGGUGGACCGGGAAACCAACAAUUGCAUUCUCAAAUUGUCCGAACACAGCCGGCUGCUCUGGGGUGGCUGUCAUCGCCGCGAGCGAAGGUUGCAGGAGCCUCCUGGCUGGCCGCAGGUCCUCACGGAGCUUGUUGUCUAGACCAUUCUCCAGAACCUGGUUGAACUUCCCAUCCUUCACAUCAGUCUGUCUGUUCAAGAACCAGUCUGGAAUCUUGGUGAGUUCUGUAUGAUGGUGAUCAUAUGCUCCACCUCAUCCUACCUGAGCUCGCCUGCCCUCUCGGUGAGGUCAAUGUCUGCUUUCCUCAACAU
RNAcentral lists this long non-coding RNA (1113 nucleotides) under Mus musculus (house mouse). RNAcentral describes it as "predicted gene, 48159". Lineage: Eukaryota; Metazoa; Chordata; Mammalia; Rodentia; Muridae. The record is from RNAcentral.